This 334-nucleotide unclassified non-coding RNA is filed under the name soil metagenome. Its description in RNAcentral is "partial contains 5.8S ribosomal RNA, internal transcribed spacer 2, and large subunit ribosomal RNA". The stretch from base 1 to 120 matches the Rfam family "5.8S ribosomal RNA", at positions 35 to 154 of the family's 154-position model. The record is from RNAcentral.
GAUGAAGAACGUAGCGAAAUGCGAUAAGUAGUGUGAAUUGCAGAAUUCAGUGAAUCAUCGAAUCUUUGAACGCACAUUGCGCCCCUUGGUAUUCCAUGGGGCAUGCCUGUUCGAGCGUCAUUUGUACCUUCAAGCUUUGCUUGGUGUUGGGUGUUUGUCCAUUCUCUUGCAGAGGGACUCUCCUUAAAGUAAUUGGCAGCCAGUGUUUUGGUUUUGAAGCGCAGCACAAGUCGCGAUUCAACGCUAUACGCCAGCUUCCACAAGCCUUUUUCACUUUUGACCUCGGAUCAGGUAGGGAUACCCGCUGAACUUAAGCAUAUCAAUAAGCGGAGGA